This 1534-nucleotide ribosomal RNA is filed under the name Salmonella enterica subsp. enterica serovar Indiana. RNAcentral's name for it is "partial 23S ribosomal RNA". It matches the Rfam family "Bacterial large subunit ribosomal RNA", at positions 711 to 2141 of the family's 2925-position model. The record is from RNAcentral. Lineage: Bacteria; Pseudomonadati; Pseudomonadota; Gammaproteobacteria; Enterobacterales; Enterobacteriaceae.
AGACCCGAAACCCGGUGAUCUAGCCAUGGGCAGGUUGAAGGUUGGGUAACACUAACUGGAGGACCGAACCGACUAAUGUUGAAAAAUUAGCGGAUGACCUGUGGCUGGGGGUGAAAGGCCAAUCAAACCGGGAGAUAGCUGGUUCUCCCCGAAAGCUAUUUAGGUAGCGCCUCGUGAAUUCAUCUCCGGGGGUAGAGCACUGUUUCGGCUAGGGGGCCAUCCCGGCUUACCAACCCGAUGCAAACUGCGAAUACCGGAGAAUGUUAUCACGGGAGACACACGGCGGGUGCUAACGUCCGUCGUGAAGAGGGAAACAACCCAGACCGCCAGCUAAGGUCCCAAAGUCAUGGUUAAGUGGGAAACGAUGUGGGAAGGCCCAGACAGCCAGGAUGUUGGCUUAGAAGCAGCCAUCAUUUAAAGAAAGCGUAAUAGCUCACUGGUCGAGUCGGCCUGCGCGGAAGAUGUAACGGGGCUAAACCAUGCACCGAAGCUGCGGCAGCGAACGUAUCACCCAAGACAACUUUGCGGAGUUGACGAUUGACGGAGCGAAGCGACGUCAAAGCGUUCAUUAAAGUCGAGUUGGCUUAGGGAUACGUUCGUUGGGUAGGGGAGCGUUCUGUAAGCCUGUGAAGGUGUGCUGUGAGGCAUGCUGGAGGUAUCAGAAGUGCGAAUGCUGACAUAAGUAACGAUAAAGCGGGUGAAAAGCCCGCUCGCCGGAAGACCAAGGGUUCCUGUCCAACGUUAAUCGGGGCAGGGUGAGUCGACCCCUAAGGCGAGGCCGAAAGGCGUAGUCGAUGGGAAACGGGUUAAUAUUCCCGUACUUGGUGUUACUGCGAAGGGGGGACGGAGAAGGCUAUGUUGGCCGGGCGACGGUUGUCCCGGUUUAAGCGUGUAGGUGUGUGUUCCAGGUAAAUCCGGUUCACUUUAACACUGAGGCGUGACGACGAGGCACUACGGUGCUGAAGCAACAAAUGCCCUGCUUCCAGGAAAAGCCUCUAAGCAUCAGGUAACAUCAAAUCGUACCCCAAACCGACACAGGUGGUCAGGUAGAGAAUACCAAGGCGCUUGAGAGAACUCGGGUGAAGGAACUAGGCAAAAUGGUGCCGUAACUUCGGGAGAAGGCACGCUGACACGUAGGUGAAGUGAUUUACUCAUGGAGCUGAAGUCAGUCGAAGAUACCAGCUGGCUGCAACUGUUUAUUAAAAACACAGCACUGUGCAAACACGAAAGUGGACGUAUACGGUGUGACGCCUGCCCGGUGCCGGAAGGUUAAUUGAUGGGGUCAGCGCAAGCGAAGCUCCUGAUCGAAGCCCCGGUAAACGGCGGCCGUAACUAUAACGGUCCUAAGGUAGCGAAAUUCCUUGUCGGGUAAGUUCCGACCUGCACGAAUGGCGUAAUGAUGGCCAGGCUGUCUCCACCCGAGACUCAGUGAAAUUGAACUCGCUGUGAAGAUGCAGUGUACCCGCGGCAAGACGGAAAGACCCCGUGAACCUUUACUAUAGCUUGACACUGAACAUUGAGCCUUGAUGUGUAG